GAUGAACGCUGGCGGCGUGCCUAAUACAUGCAAGUCGAGCGAACAGACGAGGAGCUUGCUCCUCUGACGUUAGCGGCGGACGGGUGAGUAACACGUGGAUAACCUACCUAUAAGACUGGGAUAACUUCGGGAAACCGGAGCUAAUACCGGAUAAUAUAUUGAACCGCAUGGUUCAAUAGUGAAAGACGGUUUUGCUGUCACUUAUAGUUGGAUCCGCGCCGCAUUAGCUAGUUGGUAAGGUAACGGCUUACCAAGGCAACGAUGCGUAGCCGACCUGAGAGGGUGAUCGGCCACACUGGAACUGAGACACGGUCCAGACUCCUACGGGAGGCAGCAGUAGGGAAUCUUCCGCAAUGGGCGAAAGCCUGACGGAGCAACGCCGCGUGAGUGAUGAAGGUCUUCGGAUCGUAAAACUCUGUUAUUAGGGAAGAACAAAUGUGUAAGUAACUAUGCACGUCUUGACGGUACCUAAUCAGAAAGCCACGGCUAACUACGUA
Molecule: ribosomal RNA, 497 nt
Filed under: uncultured bacterium
Lineage: Bacteria
Description: partial 16S ribosomal RNA
Rfam family: Bacterial small subunit ribosomal RNA
Source: RNAcentral